This is an RNA transcript of Felis catus (domestic cat), 11029 nucleotides long. It is a transcript of the gene named mitochondrial intermediate peptidase, with no coding region annotated. The record is from RefSeq and is a predicted model, not a curated record. Lineage: Eukaryota; Metazoa; Chordata; Mammalia; Carnivora; Felidae. The transcript has 18 exons.
CCGCUGCCUUGGAAACGCGGUGCGCGUGCUCCCGGCGGGAGCUGCGGUGCAGGGGCGGGGUCUCGCGGCGGGGGAAGGGGCUGCUCUGGGCUCCAGAUGCUGUGCGCCGGGAGGCUGGGCGGGCUCGGAAGCCGGGCAGCGCCUCUAUGGCCCGGGCGAGCGGGCUCGAGGGGCCUCGGAGCCAGGAUCCGCGCCCGAGGGGUCAGCACCAGCUGGUUCCCGGUGGGCGCCGCCUUCAAUGUCAAGCCCCAGGGCCGCCGCCUGGACCUGUUCGGCGAGCGCCGGGGUCUUUUUGGAGUUCCUGAGCUCAGCGCCCCAGAAGGAUUUCGGGUCGCCCAAGAAAAUGCCUUGAGGAAGGCAGACUUGCUUGUGGAGCGCGUGUGUUCCGUGGCACCUGGGCCCCAGACUGUGCUCAUUUUCGACGAGCUCUCUGAUUCCUUGUGCAGGGUGGCCGACUUGGCCGAUUUUGUGAAAAUCGCCCACCCCGAGCCCGCGUUCCGAGAGGCGGCGGAGGAAGCCUGUACAAGCAUCGGCACCGCGGUGGAAAAGUUGAACACAAAUGUGGAAUUAUAUCGAAGUCUGCAAAAAUUGCUAGCUGACAAAAAACUUGUGGAUUCCCUUGAUCCAGAAACCAGGCGAGUGGCUGAACUGUUUAUGUUUGAUUUUGAAAUCAGCGGAAUCCACCUAGACAAAGAGAAGCGUAAGAGAGCAGUGGACCUGAAUGUUAAAAUCUUGGAUUUGAGUAAUACAUUUCUCAUGGGAACUAACUUUCCCAACAAGAUUGAGAAGCAUCUCUUGCCAGAACACAUUCGUCAAAACUUUGUAGUCGCUGGAAAUCACGUGAUAGUUGAUGGUCUACAUGCAGAAUCUCCAGAUGACUUGGUGCGAGAAGCCGCUUAUAAAAUUUUUCUUUAUCCCAAUGCUGGUCAGUUGAGAUGUUUGGAGGAAUUGCUCAGCAACAGAGACCUGCUGGCAAAGUUAGUGGGGUACUCCACGUACUCCCACAGAGCCCUCCAAGGAACAAUAGCCCAAAGUCCAGAGACGGUCAUGCAGUUCCUUGAGAAGCUAUCAGAAAAACUUUCUGAAAGAACUAUAAGAGACUUUGAGAUGAUACGAGGGAUGAAAAUGAAACUAAAUCCUCAAAAUUCUGAAUUAAUGCCUUGGGAUCCCCCCUACUACAGCGGUGUGAUUCGUGCAGAGAGGUACAACAUCGAGCCCAGUUUGUAUUGUCCAUUUUUCUCCCUUGGAGCGUGCAUGGAAGGCCUCAACACUUUGUUUGGCAGACUGUUAGGGAUCACGUUGUAUGCCGAGCAGCCCGCGAAAGGAGAGGUGUGGUGCGAGGGCGUCCGCAAACUGGCUGUGGUUCAUGAAUCCGAAGGAUUGUUGGGGUACAUUUACUGUGAUUUUUUUCAGCGAGCGGGCAAGCCACAUCAGGACUGCCACUUUACAAUCCGUGGAGGCAGAUUAAAGGAAGACGGAGACUACCAGCUCCCAGUCGUAGUUCUUAUGCUGAAUCUUCCCCAUCCCUCAAGGAAUUUACCAACUUUAUUAACUCCUGGAAUGAUGGAAAAUCUUUUCCAUGAAAUGGGACAUGCCAUGCAUUCUAUGCUGGGACGAACUCGUUACCAACACGUCACUGGGACCAGGUGCCCCACUGACUUCGCUGAAGUUCCUUCUAUUCUGAUGGAGUACUUUGCAAAUGACCACCGAGUGGUUAGCCAGUUUGCCAGACAUUAUCAGACGGGGCAGUCACUGCCCAAAAAUAUGGUGUCUCGGCUUUGUGAGUCCAAAAAGGUGGGUGCUGCAGCCGAUAUGCAACUUCAGGUCUUUUAUGCCGCCCUGGAUCAGAUCUACCAUGGGAAGCACCCCCUGACGGCAUCGACCACAGACAUUCUCAGGGAAACCCAGGAGAAAUUUUAUGGCUUACCAUACGUUCCAAAUACCGAGGAGGAAUGGGUUUGGCAGGAGGGAUCAAGAACAUGGAAGUCUACAAAAGCCAUUAAUGUAGCACUGAGGAAUUUAUUCUGAAGAUACACAUAGAAAACCCAAUAAAGCUGGACACCUGAUAAUUAGCACAUCUACAAGAAAUUGGAGUCCAACAUUGGAGGAAAGGUUAAGCAAACCGUGUUGUACCCUGUGCUUGUCAUUAGGCCUGCCCACUUAGCACUGCGCUAUCUCUGACAUGCGGUAGAAUUGCACAUCUUUGCUCUGUGCGGUUAGUUGUGGCCACGUGACUUGAUCUGGCCAAAGAAAUCGGGCAGAAGUGAUGGGGCUCAUUGCUGGGCUGCAGCAGUUAAGAGCCACUGCACACUUGUCCACAUUUCCUCCCUGUUGGCCCAGCAACCAAUGACCUUCCGGGUGGUGGAGACUCAGAAAGCCUGGAUGCCUAAGUGCUGCUGACGUGAGAGGAGUCCGCUCACCCGAGAGAGAUGUGUCGUCUGCUCAAGGAACAGAUCUUUGCUGUUGGAAGCCACUGAGACGAGCCCAGCUGAGAUGAAGGAGCAGGGCUGAGCCUGGAUUAGGUUCAGAAGAGAAGCUCCUUCUCCCCAUGGCUUGAGUUCUGGAUAUAAAAUUCACCACACCUGAGCCUGAAUACUUUCCCUCCCUUCUUCGAGAGAUCUUGGAGGUUGGGAAUGCAGACUCUCUUGUCCCGGAAAAGGUACAUUCUAAAAGAGAUGACUUUCGAGGUGAUGCCCAGCGUCUUCACAGCACCGAGCAGUUUUUCACUGCAGGGUACUGUGCGAAAGUACCAUGGCAGAGAACGUAAAAGAGAGAGAAAGUGUGUUCUUCACCUGGACAAAAGUUACACGGACGUUAAUAAAUGAAAAUGAAUGGAUUUCUUUGCAACCAAGUCUGUAAUGUGAUUCUCUUACUUUCCCAGAUCACCUUCAAGUCCCAGGUGUCUUUACUAGGAUUAAAUUCAAUCCUCGAUAAAACGUAGUUUAGACUUGGCUCAUUCUUGUUCAUCAUCUUCCAAGGGCCUUUCUUGCUGUGUGCCAGGCACAAUGUGUUGAUCCUACGUGCAGAGCAGACAGUAGGCUGGACUCCUAUCUACGUGCCAAACUGAGGCCUCCCCCCGCGCCCGCCCCUUGUGUUUUCCCAGGCUCCGUCUGGUAUUCACCCUUUCCCCUCUUGCUCUGAGACUGUGCCCCAGAACCCUAACUCCUAUCCCUAGCUCUUGUUCAAGGUUCUGAACCCAGUUUUCAAUAUAGUAGAAGAACUACAGCUAACUAUGGAUGCAUAUGUCUUGUCCAUUUGACUAUUGUAGCCUUAAAAUAAAUCCCUAAGGGUGAAAUUGCGUAACUAGAAGAUACGUGUAGAGUUUAUGUUCUGGUACACGUCGCAAAGUUAAAAUCCAGAUGGCUUUUCCUUGAUGACCCCAGUUAUGGAUUUGAUUUUAAUUUUUGCCAAUCUGAUAGACCACACAUACUUUAAUUUAUUUUUGCUUGCAAUUCUUUUAUUACUGGUGAAACCAACAGCUUCCCCUAUGGUGUCUUACCAUCCAGUAGGAAUUGAAUUUUGUCUAUUUUUGUCAUUUUCCCGUCUUUACGUUCAUCUUUUUGUUACUCGUUUUCAUAGGGGCGUCAGCCUUUUAGUCUUUUUGUCAUAAUUUUGUCCUCCCAUUUUGUUAUUUAUCUUUCAGCUUCUUUUAUGAUUUUUUUUUUAACACUUAGAAGGUUUCAUGUUUGUUACUUAGCUUGAUGGCAAUAAAUGUUGUUUUGAGUUAAAUCUUUUAGACUUUUCUUUCAGUUUUUUGUCAGCCUUCAAGAGAGCUUUCUGGCCUAACUGCAUUCAACUUUCUGUCCACAUUUUCUUCUCAUACUCUUGUGGUUUUAUUUUUCAUCUUUCAGUCUUUGUUUAAGUUUGUGGCAGUGUUAAGGGAUGAGAUUGGAACUGGCUUUCGUUUCUCUAGUUGGUUUUUGAAUAACCCGUUUUCCCCUACUGACUUGAAAAGAUGCCCUCUGUGAGAUGUGAAGUUUUCCUGCAUGACAAGGUUUGUUUCUAGGCUUUCCAUUUCAGGGGUUCUUGCCCAGACUGGAUAAUCAUUUGUGGAAGUUUGGGUGUUUGUUGUUGGUUGUUUAUUAAUAGAGAUGCCUUUGUUCCUCUAUUUACGUCAUCUACCUAUUCCCGUCACCAUGUUGCACAUUUAUAACAUUCUUACUGGAAGGUCCCUUCUGUAUCUUAUUACAUGAAUUCCUGUUUUAAGAUUUUUUUUUCUGUUGUGAAUGGAUAUUAUAUAUCCCCCAGCACCUUUUUCCAGCUAGUCUCCAUUGGUACAUAGAAGUUAUUUAUUUUCGUUUUUUACUUUUGUGGCUGACAGUCUUGAUGAGCAACUGACUGUUUUCAAUACUUAUUUACCAGGUUUUAGGGAUUUUCCAGAUAUGUUUCUAUAUAUGUUUAUCUAUUUAUCUACAUCUAUAUAGACAUAGACAGAUAUACACAUAGAUACAUAUUUAUAUAGAUACAUAUCCCACAGCACAUGUAAGUAAUAUUUUUGCCACCCCUUUCCAAUUUUUAUGCGUCCGUGUGUCCUUGACUGGUGCUGAACUUUCAAAAUAAUGCUGAAUAAUAAUAGGGAAGUUGAGCAUACUUGUUUGGUUUAUGGUUUUAACGGAAUGUUUUAGGUUUCACCUGUGAUUUGAAAGAGGCCCAGAGCGUGUGAGGGCCAGAGAAAAGAAUACUCCAGGAUAGUCACAUCUUCAGAUUACAAAGGUGGGAGUGAGAAGGUUCCGUGAGGAAGUAGGAGGUCCGCAGCUGAGGUUCUGUGUAGGGGAAGGAGUCUGAGUGAAGGCGUCUCCCCCGUGGAGGGCCAGGUUGACUCUGCCUGGGAGACGGUGCAGGAAUAAGGUGGGUGCGAGGCUUCAGGAUCAGAUGGCCUAGAGCCAGGCUUAAGCAUCAGAUCUUCAUCUGUAAGAUGGUGAUAUCGAACCCACUAUGGUUAUCGUAAGAGUGAGAGAAUAUUUGUCAAAAGCACUUAGCCCAAUGCCCGGCACAUAGUAAAUGCAAAACAGAUGUUAAACAUUAUUAGUAUUGUGAGUGUAGUAAGUGAUCACUGAAAGGGGACAUUUUUUAAAAUUUGGAUGUAGUUGACACAGAAUGUUACGUUAGUUUCGGGUAUACGACAACACAGUGAUUUGACGCGUUUGUACGUGACCCUGUUCUCAUCACAAGUGUAGCUCCUGUCACCAUAUGACACUACGACAGUACCAUCGACCGCGUUCCCUGCGUUGGCUUUUUUAUUCAAAAGGAGGGAUUUAAAUGAUCAAAAAUGGCAUUUGAGGAAGAAAAUCGCAUCACUUGCAUGUAGGAUGGGUAACAGAUAAAAAUAGAUGGGAAUCUCGUGUGUGGGCCACCUUCUUUUGUCAGUGACUUUUGAGGGUGAUCCCUAUUCCCGAAAGACAGCCGGAGGCCCCCCGAGGUAAGGCGCGGCUGGCUGCUUGAGUAGCGCUAUGGUGGCUUUGCGCCCUUCUAGCUGCUCUCCAUGCCCAUAUGUGGUUAUUGACGUGUGAGAAUAGCUUAUCUUGGUGUCUUUUCCACCUCUUUAUGUAUUUAAUAAUGACAGAAGCGAGGACCCAGCUCGUUGGCUCGCUUUAAUAUGUGUUAUUUUCAGAUCCUUAACUUACUGACGGUGUAGUCAUUCUUUUUACACGUGUAUAUUUUUAUGUGUCUCGGGGAGGCUUUGAAAUACUUGCUGAUUUAUGGAGAGUGAAACCUCAACCAAACUUUCUCGGCACACUUAGGAAAACUCAGACUCUUAAAAGCUAAAAUCAAACAAUAUUUGAGAUGAUUUAUACAAUUUCAGCAAUAACUUUUUUCCACUUAAGCCCAAGUACAGUCUAAACAACCCUUCCCCACUGCUAAGUCCUUUAAACGGAGCGGUGGAGGUCUAUAAAUCAAACGGUAGUUUACAUUUGUUUCACAACCACUUUUUGCAACCUGUUUUCCCUCUUAAAACUUAGUAUAUUCUCCGAAAUGUUCAGCCAGUCCUAUGUUGAGAUUAAAUUAAAGUGAACAAAGAAAUAUACAAAAAGAUUUUGGAGAAUAAUAGAUGGCCACAGUUUAGAAAGGCACAGUAUUGCAAAUGAGUAGAGUAAUGCUAGACGCUGCUGAGCUGGCUCGUUUUAAAUAAGAGAAUUCAGCCGUGAGCGGGUUUGUCUCCAUCGUGAGGAAUCAGCACAGUCACCGUGGUGGAGUUAUCUCAGAUUAGUCUGCUGGUACCGAUCCCAAGAAUCCACAGGGCACUUUAAUCCUAAUUAUGUUUAAUAACCUCUUAUUUUGAAUUAAAACUUCAUAAUAUUCAUUCCACAUAUUCGUGAGUGGCAAACAUAGUUCUCAUGUGCCCUCCAGCCAGCUUCCCCAGGGACGGUAUCCCCCAUAACCAGAGUGCACACGGUUGGAUCCAAGAAACGAGUACUGACACCGUGCUGUUUAUUCCGUGUCGUGAAUUACUUCGACAUCCUGUAUUUGCUCGUGAUGAGUACCUCUGAAGCUUAUUGUCUUUUCUUUCUCAGGGUGGGACAUCUCAGAGUGGUUAGCUAAAAGCAGUUCAUAAUUUUAAUCUACAGCCUACGACUCCUUUUGUUCUGUGUAGAUGAUAAGCAGAGUUCACGAGCUCCGUGAACACAGGACUGAUAGAAGCAGAGUCAGUAGAGACUGGCACAUCAUUUGAGAGCCUGCGUCCUGAUUACACAUAAUGUUAGAAAACACAUCAAAGUGCUAAGUGCAGAGAGGCACAGAGGUGAUUUAUCUCUUCAUAAACUACUUCCCUGCAGGUAAAAUCUAGCAUAGGCUGUGAAAGCACCCAUCUUAAGCUUUCUCAUCUGCUGGCGUAUCCUUGGCUUCUCUCUCUGCUUAGAGUAGUGCUGGUUUCCUUACCUGCGUCCUUGAACCAUUAACGUGUUGACUUUCAAGCAUUUUGACCAAGCCCACAGGAAGGAAUGCAUUGUAUUAUGAUGAUGAUACAAAUAUAUGUAUGUACGUUUAGGGGUGUGUGUGUGUAAAAGUGAAGCAAAGUACCACGGACUAAAAGUUAUCCUAACUAUGUGCAUGGUGGUCCAGUAUUUUCUGUUCUGCAUUUUCACUUUUUAAAUACUGGUCACAACCUACUCUGUUGGUUUCACAAACCACUAGUAGAUAAGGGCCCCACAGUUUGAGAAACACCACGUUCAUUUAUCUUGCCCCCCCCUUUUUUGCCUCUUCUACCCUCCUUUUCCAAAUCAACCAUAAAACCUUUCUUAGCAAGAGAGAUUUUGCAACUAAAUUACUGAGAAAUAAAACUACAGCUCCUAUUUAAUCCCAACAGUAUCAUCUCUCCUCACGGGGGUUAAUUCAUUUGACAGACAUCGUCUUUGGGGAAGAAGGGUAUGUAUAAAUAAGCUAGUGUGAAAAAUGAUGCAUUGUGAUGCUGUGAGAACUCUGUUACAGACACAGAGGUGUUUAAUCGUGCCUCCUGGCGUCAGAAAUGGCAUUUUAUCUCUGCUUAGUUCACUCCAAGUCAGGUUCUACCUCAGGUUAAAGCAGUGUAGCGGGGAGGGAGAGGGGGACAGGGGAAGCAUGAUGGGGACAGAGGAUGGUGAGGGAAUAUGCUUGUCUCGGGUUGCCUGACGACAGGCAUGGGAGGCAUGGGAGCAGGGGCUGGGGGCUGGGUGUUGAAAAUGAAACUAGGAUCAAACACUAAGGAGUCCUGUGUGUCUGCACCGAGGCUUAUACAUGAUCCUGGAGGGAAAGGGGAGACCCUGGAGGUUUGAAGUUUGUAAGCAGAGUAGUGACACAGGCAGGGAUCAGCUAUAGGGGAGAGUGAAGGUUUCAGUAUCGAGCGUGGGUUGGAGGGCAGAAACAUUGAAGGCAGGGGUAGUAAUAGAUGCGAACAAAUACAAAACAUAUCGUGGAUUUUACCAGAUACUGAAAAACAUGCAUUUUUAUUUGUAAAAAUGAUCUCCUUGAUCAUUUCGAUAACAUUUCACUGUCUCCUGCCUCAGCAGUGCAUUCACAGAUCUUUUCAUUAAUAUCUUUUACCCAGCAUUUUAGUUGUUUCAUUUGGGACCGUUACUUGAAGUAUCAAACUGAAGCCCCUCUGUCCGGCUUCUCCCUUCCUUCCUUCCUUCCUUCAGUUAUUCCUAUUCAGCGUUUGCUCUGUGUUCCAUUCUGGGAGAUUACUUUGCAGUUUUUUUUCCUUGCUACCUUUUUCACUACUGUUAUUUUAGUGUUAGCUUUGUUUUUUGCUUUUCACAAUUAGGGUUUUAUUCCCAGUAGCUGCUGCUGCUUUUUCAUAGCACCUUGAUCUUGUUUAACAAAUGUGAUUCUUUUUGUCAGUGUAUGUAUAUGUGUAUGUACACACACGUGCACAUAGCUCCUGCCUUAAAGGUCUUACAGAAUAGGCAGAAGAUGAUAAAGGUCUAAAUCCAGGCAUUGAUGUUAGACAUCUGCAUAAGGGAAGAAAUACAAGAAAUCUAUUGAGAUACAAAUUUUCAGGACCUGAGGGUAUAUCGAAGGUAACGGGAGAUGAGGAAUCACGAGGCAGAGCUGAUCCUCAACCAGAACAAAAGCAUCUAGGAAAAACCCACAGUUCACAGUCAGUGCUGAAAGUCUGAAAGCUUUCUCCUAAGACAGGAACAGGACAGUACUGGCUGCCAUCACCACUUCUAUUGAAUGUUAUACUAGAGGUUUUGGCCAGAGCAGUUAGGCAAGAAGAAGGAAUAAAAGGCAUUCGGGCUGGAAAGGAGGAAAUAAAAUUACUUCUGUUGCAAAUGACAUGAGCUUGUAUGUAGAAAAUCCCAAGGAAUCCAUAAAAAACUAUUCGAGCGAAUAAACAGGUUCAACAAGGUUGCAGGAUAGAAGAGUAAUAAUGAAACUCAACUGUAUUUCUAUACUCUAGCAACAGACAGUCCAAAAUUAAAUGAAGAAAAGAAUUCCAUUUGUAAUAGCAUCGAAAAGAAUAAAGAACUCAGGAGUGAACUUAACAAAAAUGUUCAACAUUUGUGUACUGUAAACCGUAAAACAUUAUUGAAAGAAGUUAAAGAAGCCCAAAAGAAAUGGAAAGACGUCUCCCAUUCAUGGACUGGAAGACUCAUCAUGAACGCAGUAAUCCCCAAAUUGGUCUACAGAUUCAAAACAAUCGUGAAAUCUCAACUGCCUCUUUUUUUUUUUUUUGGUGCCAAGACUGAAAGCUGGUAAAAAAAAAAAAAAAUCAUACUGAAAUGCAGAGGAUCCAGAAGAGCCAAAACGAUCUUGAAAAAGAAGAGAAAAGUCAGAGGGCUCACCCUUCCCAGUUUCCAAACUUGCUACAAAAUCUGCAGUUAUCAAGGCUGUAGAAUUCCAGGAGUGACCUCGCCCGACCGGCCGCGUAAGAGACAAAUCUCAGCAAUUAGAUAGCUGCCCACAAACACAAACGGACCUGGGAAAGGCUUGGAGUCCACUUAAGAAUGUUUGGCAACGCAGUGGAACAAAAGGGCCCUGAGAAGAAUCGCCUCCGAAGAGAAGGAAGACGGCUUGGCUUUGCGGGCAUCGCUCAGCGCCCGCGGGGAGCUCCCCAGCCACACUCGAGAAGCAAGAGCUGUGUGAACGGCCCGCUUCCUCCGCCUCGAGGGGCACCACACGAGGGUCACGCGUCAGGUGCGCCCCACCUACGCUGGCAAAACCGAGGCGUGUAGAAACAGCAAGGCCCGAGGAAGGACAACGGGCUACCGACAGCAGCCAGGCGGUCGGAGCGAUGGUGGGUAACCGUGACCUUCCCUGCAGACAGAUCCAGCAUAUUCUGCCACCAAGACAGGGCCCAGACGUGGGCCCCCUGCAGAUGUCACCAGCGUUUGCCCCACGGGUGUUCGUGUCUGUGGACACCAGCCGCCCGAAUCUCCCCGCUCCCUUCCCUCCCCGACUGGAGCCCUAGAACUCCACCAGCCUGGGCCUCGGAGGCUACGUGAGGGCAGCACGCCAGCCCCGACCCUCGCCGCCGACCUCCACGGCUGUGUGCGGCACCCGUCGCCAGCCUCCGCUGUGCGCACCUGCCUGGGGUGAGACAUCCAGGCCUCCGCAGCUACCGCAGGCCUAGACCGGGCCCUGUCUUUUGUCACCGGCCUCGCGAUCGAUCGUGCUCACCUGCAGGUCGCCGCCCCUGCAGGGCCGCCAGCUGCGUGCCCCGGGCCCCCGUGACCAGUCUCCACUGCGGUGCACGUGCCCGGGGAGAGACCGGCCGGCCGGGGGCAGCAUGCCAGCGGCCAGGGCCCCCACAGCUGCCCGUGAGCCCAGAGCCGGCCCCAACCCUUCUGCCUGCCCUGCCGCCUGCUGCUACACGUGUCCGCGUCCGGCCCUCGCGACCACACUGGCACCUGCGGCUGCUCCCUGUGACCUGGAGUUCACGCCACCGGGUCGGGCCACCGCUGCCCCCGGCUUUGGUGCCUAGCCAGUGUGGAUCUGGAAGCACCACUGAGGACCCUGAGGGCCCCGCAGCCACCUCAGACCCUCCCGCCUCCCACCCUGCCACACCUGGUGGACCGCCUCAGUCAGGACUGGCGCCUCUCCAAAGUGACCUCUGCCCUGGGGAGGGGGAGCCCUCCCCCCAGCCUGCCCACCGGCACAGCCACAGCCGUUGCGGCCGGGCCUCUCAGCCGGCUGCACCAGGGGCUGGCCCCUCUUGCCAGCGUGCCCACAGCAGCUGUGGCCGGGGCUCUGAGCCAGCCUUGCUGGGGGCCGGCCCGGCCCACCAGUGCUCCUUCCGUAACCAUGGCCUGUCGCUGCCAACAGAUGGGCUGGGGUAGAACCGGAACAAAUAAUCCUAUUAAUUUGUAUGAAACCACAAAAGAGCCUGGAUGGCCAGAGCAGUCUUGAGAAAGAAGAACAGAGCUAGAGGUAUCAGCUUCCAGAUUUCAAGCUACAAAGCCGUGGCGAUCAAACGGUUGGUACUGGUCCCGAAAAAAGACACAAAGAUCAAUGGAUCAGAACAUAAAGAAUAUAUGGCCAUGUAACUAUGAUGAAAAAAGAAUACACAAUGGGAAAAAGACAAUCUUCAGUAAAUGGUGUUGGAAAAACUGGA